Passer domesticus (house sparrow) is the source of this 317-nucleotide long non-coding RNA. RefSeq lists it as uncharacterized. The transcript has 3 exons. The record is from RefSeq and is a predicted model, not a curated record. NCBI's taxonomy places the organism in Eukaryota, Metazoa, Chordata, Aves, Passeriformes, Passeridae.
UGGAAGUGAAGGGUUUUUUGAGAGGAGCAGCUGAGAGUUUCCUCUGUGCCUGAUAAAACUAAUCAGCUCUUGCUAUCUGUGACUACUAAAAUGUUUUCCAUAAAGUGGAUUUGUUUCAACAUAAGGAACAUGAGGGGAAUUGUACUUCAGAAUAGUCAAUGGCCCUAUAUAUCUUAGGGGACUCCCAACAGGAGGUGGAAUGCCCACAAUUAUACUCUACAUGAUCCCAUAGGAUACAAAUUGUGUAUUCAUCAUUGCAGACAGGGGAUACAGAGACAUUUCUCCCUCCUUGUGAAAACACAGCUUGUACAUGACAG